AGUGAACGCUGGCGGUAGGCCUAACACAUGCAAGUCGAACGGCAGCACAGUAAGAGCUUGCUCUUACGGGUGGCGAGUGGCGGACGGGUGAGGAAUACAUCGGAAUCUACUUUUUCGUGGGGGAUAACGUAGGGAAACUUACGCUAAUACCGCAUACGACCUACGGGUGAAAGCAGGGGAUCUUCGGACCUUGCGCGAUUGAAUGAGCCGAUGUCGGAUUAGCUAGUUGGCGGGGUAAAGGCCCACCAAGGCGACGAUCCGUAGCUGGUCUGAGAGGAUGAUCAGCCACACUGGAACUGAGACACGGUCCAGACUCCUACGGGAGGCAGCAGUAGGGAAUCUUGGACAAUGGGCGAAAGCCUGAUCCAGCCAUACCGCGUGGGUGAAGAAGGCCUUCGGGUUGUAAAGCCCUUUUGUUGGGAAAGAAAAGCAGCAGGUUAAUCCCCCGCUGUUCUGACGGUACCUAAAGAAUAAGCACCGGCUAACUUCGUG
This 492-nucleotide ribosomal RNA is filed under the name uncultured bacterium. RNAcentral describes it as "partial 16S ribosomal RNA". It matches the Rfam family "Bacterial small subunit ribosomal RNA", at positions 29 to 507 of the family's 1533-position model. The record is from RNAcentral.